GGGUGAGUAACGCGUGAGUAACCUGCCUUACACAAGGGGAUAGCCUUUGGAAACGAAGAAUAAUACCCUAUAAAACCAUAAAAGCACAUGCUAGAAUGGUCAAAGUGAUAGCGGUGUAAGAUGGACUUGCGUCUGAUUAGCCAGUUGGUGAGAUAAAAGCUCACCAAGGCAACGAUCAGUAGCCGGCUUGAGAGAGUGUACGGCCACAUUGGGACUGAGACACGGCCCAG
Molecule: ribosomal RNA, 230 nt
Filed under: uncultured Eubacteriales bacterium
Lineage: Bacteria; Bacillati; Bacillota; Clostridia; Eubacteriales
Description: uncultured Clostridiales bacterium partial 16S ribosomal RNA
Rfam family: Bacterial small subunit ribosomal RNA
Source: RNAcentral